UUCCUGGUGGCUCACCAGUAAAGAAUCUGCCUGCAAUGCAGGAGAUGCAGGUUCUAAUCCUAGUCAGGAAG
This 71-nucleotide transfer RNA is filed under the name Capra hircus (goat). It matches the Rfam family "tRNA". From Rfam's summary of the family: Transfer RNA (tRNA) molecules are approximately 80 nucleotides in length. Their secondary structure includes four short double-helical elements and three loops (D, anti-codon, and T loops). RNAcentral also lists the same sequence under 1 other name. Lineage: Eukaryota; Metazoa; Chordata; Mammalia; Artiodactyla; Bovidae. The record is from Rfam by way of RNAcentral.